This 83-nucleotide transfer RNA is filed under the name Volvariella volvacea. RNAcentral's name for it is "tRNA-Ser". Lineage: Eukaryota; Fungi; Basidiomycota; Agaricomycetes; Agaricales; Pluteaceae. The record is from RNAcentral.
GGAAUAGUUUUCAUUGGUAAGAUAAAACAAUUGCUAAUUGUUCGGGUUAACAGCCCUUAGGUGUUCGAAUCACCUUUAUUCCG